RNAcentral lists this unclassified non-coding RNA (1264 nucleotides) under Hevea brasiliensis (rubber tree). The record is from RNAcentral. Lineage: Eukaryota; Viridiplantae; Streptophyta; Magnoliopsida; Malpighiales; Euphorbiaceae.
AUUUUGAUAUGCAAUUGGUUUGGUUAGAUUUCUUAAGCUUCUGCUACUGUAAUUGCUUUUUACCAUUUUCAGGUUGUAACAUUUAGGUUGCGUAAUUUUUAUUAACUAAUUCUAUAUUAGUGCAAGUUAAAUAGAUGUAAGUUUCAAGUAUUUUUGACGAGUUUACAACCUAGGGCCUUUACUAAAAUGUUUUUAAUUAUAUGACAAUUUUCUUUGGGGGGGUUAGUCAAUGCAAAGUUAACCACUGCUAUUGGCUUGGGAUAUAUAUAAUUGAUCAAAGUUAAUCAGUAAUUUAGGACCAAUGAUUUUUGGCUUCCAAUUAAGACCAUACUCCCUAAGGCACCUGUAGAGCACAUUCAGAAAAUUGAUGCGGCAUUAUGUUAUGGCUAGAGAAAACAAUUUUUUUUUUCUUCUUAAACUGACCUCAGGAAGUAAUAUUAGAGAAAUCAUGGGCUGUAAAUCCAAACCAUGGCGGCUAGCCAAUGGCAAGCCUCUAUUUUAGGCUCUUAGUUUUCACUGCCGUUUUGGAAAGCUUCAGAUGCACCAUUCUUCACUGAACUUUCUGAUGAUUUCACAACCUCACCUCAAAAUGAUGCGGUAGCCAUGCUUAAGGAGUGGACCCUGCCAUUUCAGGUGAGGUUGCUCAAGUGAUGUUGAGCAUUGAAAUCUUAGUAAUUUUAGCAAAGAUGGUGUAUGAAACUGAAGCUUAUCUAUGAAAUUGGAAGAAAUAAAAGUUUAGUGACAGAUAAAAUUAUCCUCUAAGUUCAGCGACUAACAGUAUGUGAAAAAUAUUGAGUGAUUUUAUUGAAUUAAUAAAAGUUGCUAUUGCUAGUGAUAGAAUUCCAUAGUUCUCUCUUUAGUUUAUAUCUUUUCUGUAUUUGCCCGCUUUAUUAAAAAGAAGUUUUCAUCUUUCAAUUAAAACCUGAUUUGCUUGUUAAUGAUUCCACAAAACUCCAUCCAUUAUUUUAAGGGUUUUGUUGCAUUUGAAGAGUUACCCAAAUUGUAUUCAAAUUGAAGAUCUGUUAAAACACUUUGUAUCAUAAUCAUAUUGGAAUGUGGAAGGGGGUGCGAAUUUUAUUACUAUGCUGGUGAAUGAGAAGGCUUAUUAUUUAUGGUGUCCACAUACUGCAUGUGCUACUGAAGUGAAGAGAGUGAUUUGUGUAGUAGAUUUUUAAAACUGGUCAACGAUCGAAUUAUUUCCAUGCAGCAUGUUGUGACAAUUUCUCUGGUUUAUUUGACAGGUAUUUGGGCAGGAAUGCUUACG